RNAcentral lists this ribosomal RNA (433 nucleotides) under uncultured bacterium. Its description in RNAcentral is "partial 16S ribosomal RNA". It matches the Rfam family "Bacterial small subunit ribosomal RNA", at positions 29 to 507 of the family's 1533-position model. The record is from RNAcentral.
AACGAACGCUGGCGGCAUGCCUAACACAUGCAAGUCGAACGAGACCUUCGGGUCUAGUGGCGCACGGGUGCGUAACGCGUGGGAACCUGCCCUUAGGUUCGGAAUAACUCCCCGAAAGGGGUGCUAAUACCGGAUAAUGUCUUCGGACCAAAGAUUUAUCGCCUUUGGAUGGGCCCGCGUUGGAUUAGCUAGUUGGUAGGGUAAAAGCCUACCAAGGCGACGAUCCAUAGCUGGUCUGAGAGGAUGAUCAGCCACACUGGGACUGAGACACGGCCCAGACUCCUACGGGAGGCAGCAGUGGGGAAUAUUGGACAAUGGGCGAAAGCCUGAUCCAGCAAGGCCGCGUGAGUGAUGAAGGCCUUAGGGUUGUAAAGCUCUUUUACCCGGGAUGAUAAUGACAGUACCGGGAGGAUAAGCUCCGGCUAACUCCGUG